UAAUAAGCAUGUUUUUGUUUUAGAAAUUGAAAUUCAAAUUCCCCGCCAUAUUUUCAUAAUUUGGUGCAUGCGCAGACGUUUUUCCGCGGUGUUGGGUGGCCCUUCUGUGUGCCUUAUUCUGUGGCAAUGAGCAUGCGCAGUUUGUUUGGAAAAGUAACGCAAUGAGCAUGCGCAGUUUGUUUGGAAAAGACAAGAUGGAGGACGAACUGAAGAAAGCAGAACAUCUUUCACAUAAAGACCCUGAGAGGGCAAUGGAACUUUUGUCUGCUAUAGGUA
This is a non-coding RNA of Paramuricea clavata, 276 nucleotides long. NCBI's taxonomy places the organism in Eukaryota, Metazoa, Cnidaria, Anthozoa, Malacalcyonacea, Plexauridae. The record is from the annotation of a GenBank genome assembly.